ACGCACGGGGCCGUAUUGCCUCAUAGAUUCUGCAGAUUAUUGACGAAGCAUCUCAAAUUCUUAAUCUAAAUCCAGUUCCUCUUCCAUGUAAUAUUUUUCCGAUUACCUUUGGUUUUACACACACGCACACUAAAGUGCACAAAGCAAUGCAGUCAGGUGCUGAAAUUAAUUAAAUCUUUGAAACACAUCACUGCAAUAGCCGCAGAUUAGGUUUUCUAACCCAAAUGCUGGAGGUAGUGUUUGUCCUUAAUUGUCCAAGAUUAGAGAAAAUCCCCUUCAUGACCUUUUCCCCAUAGAUGAAAAUGAGGAGGAAGUUUAAGUAAAAGUAGAAAAAAUACAGACCUUGAAAUAUUAGUAUGUAAUUUCUAUUCCAGGGGUGAUUUUUUAAAAUAAUGGAGUUGAAUGAUUUACAUAUUCUAAACAAUAAUCGGGUCUUUUUUUUCCCAAAACAAGAUCUUUGGAGUGAAUGUUAUAGUCCUCCUGUAAAACAAAGACUAGCAGCACUAAAAGCAUGUGGAGGAGCUUCAUAGUUUCUGCAGCUUACGUUUUGUCAAGCCAAAUAACUGGAAAGAAGGGGAAAUCCUUCUGUGGCAUGAAGAAUGAAGUGGAAAUUCCAAAACAGUUCUUGAAGAUUUCUUCCCCAUGAGUGUGUCAGCUUCAACGUAACUGAAAUUUGUCAACUUUGAGGGAACUUUCUGAUGCCCCCUUGAGGAGAUUCUUAUGUGUGUGGGAGUUAACAUAGCGGGUGACUGUUCAACUGCAAGGUAAACUAAGUGUAUUACUUUUCUCUAAGUAAGGCCCCUGUAAGUUGCACAUGUUCACAAUAUUUCUACAGACUUUGUUAAGCUACCGUGCAAGCAAGACUUGUGGCUCUCAAAUCUGUCUGUAAUUUUGCCUGUGCCUAAAUAUGUGUAGCAGAAUUGUUGAAUACAACAACUAUAGGACAGCCUCUGCCAUUUUAUAUUGAGGAUGAUACUUGUAGGACCAUUAAUGUAGGUGAGGCUCUCAGACUCAACCCUCUGCGAUCUCAAAUUUUUGAUAAAAUGCUAUUACAGAUCCUAUAUGCCUUGUACUUCGGCCUGCUAGCGCUGAGAGACUCAUGGCAGUCCAGGGAUACAUCUGGUUGCAGACUCCAAGAGUGGCUGCAGCUCAAGAAGUUCUGUCCAAACUGGAAACCAAUAGACCAGUUAAAAUAUUAGCACUUUAGCUACAGUGACCCCCUAAUGUGUUUGCACAGCCUACACUACUGUAACUAAGUUUCUGCUAGUAUCUGAGCAGACUCAUUAAAAUUUAUCUCAGUAUACAUACUCAAGCUAUAAUUAUGUUGCCAAAUAACUAUGUAUAGAUACCAGUAGAAGAAUUCAGGAAACAAUCAUUUAGAACAGUCUUUCCCCCCCACUUGCGGUGUUUGCCAUGCUGUGAAAUAUAAGACUUAAGAUGACAGGAAAAAAUAGUUUUAAAACAUUUUCAGAAGUGAAAAGCACUCUAAAAUGCCAGCUUCUGCAAAAGCAAUGUUCUCUUUAAAACAAUUGAACGAAGUCCGAUUGAUCUU
Molecule: long non-coding RNA, 1552 nt
Organism: Oxyura jamaicensis (ruddy duck)
Lineage: Eukaryota; Metazoa; Chordata; Aves; Anseriformes; Anatidae
Exons: 4
Source: RefSeq, a predicted model, not a curated record